UGGUUGAUGUUGCGUUCAGGUGAUGGUGACUUUGGGGGAUUUUCUGAGCUAUUGUAGGCAUCACAAAGCAGAUGGAGAAAACGAGUUUCCUGAGCACAUGUAGCUUUCAGAAGCUGGACCAUCAGAUGAAUUAACUGGGAGUAUCUAUGUGACAGGCAGCAGGGGGGCAGCUUAGUUUAGCUUAGUCAGUCACUCAUUCCGUUUUUUUUCCCCACCAAGCUAUGACCUUCAGCCGUGUGGAGCCACAGCGGUUGGUGUAGUCCUCUCAGCGUUGGACUGUGUGUACCUGGUAAAGAUCCAAAUGGAUAAAGCAUCCCGAAAGGUUUCGAACCAGGACAUAAAUCCUUGCUUAGAAGAGAGUGAUGCCUCCCACAAGUGUUUGGAUGCCUACAACUAUGAUAAGAGCAGGUGCUCAGCCUACUUCCUGAGAUAUAAGAACUGCAGAAAAUAUUGGCACGACAUAAUGGUGCAGAGGAGAAGAGAUGGUGUUAAACCUGAAAUGCCCACUGCUGCAGAGAGGCUAGAAAUCCUGAAUGCCAUUGGGGGCAAACCCUACUAACAGUGAACACCAUCACAAAGAUGCUGCGGACAGUUGGCCUGCGGAGAUGUGGAGAUCCUGAUACACUGCAGUGACUAUGGUGCCCCUGCCAUGGUGGGAAAAGAGCAAGGGGCUGUCCCCCGGGUGAAAGAGGACAAUCCAGAUCUUAUUGCUUACCACUGUCCUUAUCCAUCAGACCGUUCUGUGUGCCACCCUAUCAGAGCUUUAUGCUGAAGUAAUGAACACAGAAAUGAAGGUCAUGAACUUCCUGAGGGCAUCCUCAUUCCUUCAGCAUUGCCUCCUGAGAGAAUUCCUGGAAGAUGUUGAGGCAAACGUCAAUGACAGCACAACUUUAUGAGGUGGCUGAGUAAAGGCAAUGUACUGGGACGUUUCUGGUCUAUUCGAAAAUAAAUAGCAGCUUUUUCAAGGCCGGGCAGGAGUCAGAGAGCAACACAGUUUCCACUUUUCUGCAAGAAGAACACAAGAUGGAUAUGGUGGCUUUUUUGGUUGACAUAACAUCACACCUCAAUGAGCUGAAUUUAAAGCUGUAGGGCGAGAAUAAUUCAGUUGCUGAUUUGAUGACAGCUUUUUCGCUCCUUCCAGAAGAAGCUGGAAAUUUUCAAAGAAGAUCUUGAAAGAGAGUGUGAACACUUCUCAAAUCUGCAGGAACAAUGAGAGAGCUGUUUCUCCCUAUGUUGACUUCAUAAACAAACUGAUUGAGAACUUCAUUCAAAGGAUCAACCACUUCUGCUAUGGGCCGCAGCUCCUCCUGCUAAUCCACAAUCCUUUUCUUAUCAGAGAAAUCAAAGGAUUUUCGAAGGCGGCAAAACAGACUUUCAAGUGAGCAAAUGCAGGAUCUCUACAGUUUGAUCUCAUUGAUCUGCAAGGAAAUGCAGAAUUAAGAGAGCAUUUUGAGGCAACCGACCCUGCUAACUUCAGGCUAUAGACUGUGUCUAAAAGUGUGUUCCCUAGUGAGUCUAACCAAAGUAGCACUGCACAUGUUGACAAUGUUUGGAUCAACUUACAGCUAUGCAUCAGCUUUUUCCACUGUGAACUUUAUCAAAAGCAAGCACCGUUUUAGACUCACAAAUGAACACCUAAAUGUCUGCAUGAGAAUGGCACUGACCCUAUUCCAACCAAGAUUUAAACUACUGGCAGGACAAGCCCAUAUCUCUCAUUAAGUAAAAGAAAGAAUAAUCAAAAGACAGAAAAUGGUGUUAAAAGCUUUGUUUUCAGGUUCCUCCUGAAAGAGCCAUUGUUAUUUAAUGUUCUUUGAAGAUGCUAAGGUUGGUACCUUUUUAAGCAAAAAAACAUAACAAACAGAGAAACAUGCUUGCUUUCUCUAUUUGCACCACUUUUUUUUAUAAAAGAGCCACUUUUAUUUAUUUUUGUUUUCUAAAGAUGUUUUAUACGUAAAGCUUAAGCUUUCAGUUCUUAAGGUUUGGAUCUCUUCAAUUUGGAAGGUAAUAGGGCUAUUUGGCUCUGUUUGCACUUUAAACAUUUAUUUAAUUCAGUGAUUUCUGUUUUAAUGUGAAUAAAAGGCUUUAAAUUUG
RNA transcript from Fundulus heteroclitus (mummichog), 2091 nucleotides. It is a transcript of the gene named coiled-coil-helix-coiled-coil-helix domain containing 7, with no coding region annotated. NCBI's taxonomy places the organism in Eukaryota, Metazoa, Chordata, Actinopteri, Cyprinodontiformes, Fundulidae. The transcript is spliced from 5 exons. The record is from RefSeq and is a predicted model, not a curated record.